UACGGAGGGGGCUAGCGUUGUUCGGAAUUACUGGGCGUAAAGCGUGCGCAGGCGGUUGUGCAAGACAGAUGUGAAAUCCCCGGGCUCAACCUGGGAAUUGCAUUUGUGACUGCACGGCUAGAGUGUGUCAGAGGGGGGUAGAAUUCCACGUGUAGCAGUGAAAUGCGUAGAGAUGUGGAGGAAUACCGAUGGCGAAGGCAGCCCCCUGGGAUAACACUGACGCUCAUGCACGAAAGCGUGGGGAGCAAACAGG
Molecule: ribosomal RNA, 253 nt
Filed under: uncultured bacterium
Lineage: Bacteria
Description: partial 16S ribosomal RNA
Rfam family: Bacterial small subunit ribosomal RNA
Source: RNAcentral